CAUAAUGCAUCUGCUCUGCUGCUCUGAGAGCAUUUAUAUCCCUGUGAGUUUAACACUUCAUGACUGAGAGCUGUCCUUCAUGACAACAGAACCCACAACAACCAUGACUUUUAUCACCAUCUUCAUCUGGACACUUGCUUUCUACAUCAAAGAAUCUAGAGAACAGAUCACUGUGACUCAGAUACCUGCAGUGAAAACUGUUCUCCCAGGACAGACAGUCUCUAUGAACUGUAAAGCCAGCAUUGAUGUGCAAACUAACUGUUGGAGUUCAGGUAAACCAUGUUUAGCCUGGUAUCAACAGAAACCUGGAGGUACUCCUAAACUACUGGUCUACUACAGUAGCACCCUCUUCUCUGGGACUCCAUCUAGAUUCAGUGGUAGUGGAUCUGGGAGUGACUUCACUCUGACCAUCAGUAGAGUCCAGGCUGAAGAUGCAGCAGAUUACUACUGUCAGAGUUUCCACACUGGUAAUGUGUUCACACAGUGAUACAGAGCCGUACAAAAACCUCCCUCAGUCAGACUGCACAGUGACUGUACUGCUACAGCUGGGACCUGCUGCAGGUGCUGAGGGGGGGACAGUGAAAUGGAACACUGGUCACUAGAUGAGGUCAACUAUGACGUGACUGUCACAUGUGAUGACGCUGGAGUGACGAAGCAGGUACGGGGAGUAGAAUGUUUAAUAAAUAACGAACAUGGAACGAGAUAGGAACAGCGUCAGCAAACUAAUACUGAAGACAAAAAACAAUCAAUGCAGCAGCGGGGAACAGAGCUGGCGAACUGACAAAUAAAAGGGAGGAAAUAAACAGGUGAUAAGUGAGUCCAGGUGAGUCAAUAACGUUGAUGCGCGUGACAAGGGAAUGCAGGUGUGCGUAAUAGAUGGCAGGAGUGCGCGAUGAAGGGCAGCCUGGAGCCCUCAAGCGCCAGGGGGGGAAGAGCGGAAGCAGAUGUGACAGUGACAAUAUGGUUAGAAGCAAUCGUUCAGAUCACAUGACCAUCAUCAUCAUCAUCUUCAUAAUCAUCAUGGUUGGUACCAUAGAACUAACAAAAAUAUCAAUGCAACAUGUGAAGUGUUGGUCCCAUGUCUCAUGAGCUGAAAUAAAAGAUCCCAGAAAUGUUC
Molecule: non-coding RNA, 1117 nt
Organism: Salmo salar (Atlantic salmon)
Lineage: Eukaryota; Metazoa; Chordata; Actinopteri; Salmoniformes; Salmonidae
Source: the annotation of a RefSeq genome assembly